UUUAGAUAACUUAAAAAAAGUAUUAAUCUUUUAAAUUAAAUUUAGGUAAAAACCUUCUAAAU
This 62-nucleotide transfer RNA is filed under the name Didesmococcus koreanus. RNAcentral describes it as "tRNA-Lys". The record is from RNAcentral. Lineage: Eukaryota; Metazoa; Arthropoda; Insecta; Hemiptera; Coccidae.